AUCUAAAUAGUUUAUUGAAAAUAUUAACUUGUGGAGUUAAGGAAGCAUUAUUUGUUUUAGAUA
Molecule: transfer RNA, 63 nt
Filed under: Cryptocephalus bipunctatus
Lineage: Eukaryota; Metazoa; Arthropoda; Insecta; Coleoptera; Chrysomelidae
Description: tRNA-His
Source: RNAcentral